UGCGAGAGGCAUCAGGAUCCCUGGCGGCGCCUGAGCCAGCGGCUGCUAGGAGGCUGUGUCCGCAAGCCAGCGGGGCGAGGCGCCUGGGCCCUGCGCGUCAGGUCCCGGCCUGGGGCACCGGGGCUGCCAGCGUCGGAGGAGGCCUGAGACCUGGGAGGAAGCUGGAGAAAAGAUGCCCUCUGAAUCUUUGUGUUUGGCUGCCCAGGCUCGCCUUGACACCGAAUGGUUGAAAACAGAUAUACAGAUGGUAGUGUCGAACCAAGUGGAACAAAGAAAGAAGAUCUGAAUGACAAAGAGAAAAAAAAUGAAGACGAAACUCCUGCACCUGUAUAUAGGGCCAAGUCAAUUCUGGAGACCUGGGUGUGGGUCAAGCAACCAGGAAACGGAAGCCCAAAGAGGAGGGGAGCUUACAGCAGGCCCUGGACUAGGGAUUAACACAAAAACAACAGCAACAAAUCUGAUUUAAGCUUCACACAUAAUCAAGGAAAACUGAUGCUUCAGAAAGAUGCCCCAUAUGUAUCCUGUGGCACUCAAAGUACCCCAGGUUGAGAUGAGAUGAGGAAGAUUCAAGUUGUCAAGUCCAGUUUCCCAAGAUCUCUUGCACAGAAGAUGAGCAAAUCUCACUUCAAAGAUCA
Molecule: long non-coding RNA, 635 nt
Filed under: Homo sapiens (human)
Lineage: Eukaryota; Metazoa; Chordata; Mammalia; Primates; Hominidae
Description: non-protein coding lnc-APBA2-5:6
Source: RNAcentral